UACGUAGGGGGCGAGCGUUGUCCGGAGUUACUGGGCGUAAAUGGCAUGCAGGCGGUCGGACGCGUUUUGUGUGACAGCGGGUGGCUCAACUACCCGAGCAUGCGAAAGACGGUCGGACUUGAGGACUCGAGAGGGACACGGAAUUCCGGGUGGAGUGGUGAAAUGCGUAGAGAUCCGGAGGAACACCGAAGGCGAAGGCAGUGUCCUGGCGAGUGACUGACGCUGAGGUGCGAAAGCCAGGGGAGCGAACGGG
This 253-nucleotide ribosomal RNA is filed under the name uncultured bacterium. Its description in RNAcentral is "partial 16S ribosomal RNA". It matches the Rfam family "Bacterial small subunit ribosomal RNA", at positions 524 to 776 of the family's 1533-position model. The record is from RNAcentral.